RNAcentral lists this ribosomal RNA (406 nucleotides) under uncultured bacterium. RNAcentral's name for it is "partial 16S ribosomal RNA". It matches the Rfam family "Bacterial small subunit ribosomal RNA", at positions 30 to 526 of the family's 1533-position model. The record is from RNAcentral.
AUUGAACGCUGGCGGCAGGCUUAACACAUGCAAGUCGAACGAGUGGCGGACGGGUGAGUAAUGCUUGGGAAUCUUGCUUAUGGAUGGGGAUAACUACGGGAAACUGUAGCUAAUACCGCGUACCAUAGGAUGAGCCCACGUGGGUUUAGGUAGUUGGUGAGGUAAUGGCUCACCAAGCCGACGAUCUCUAGCUGGUCGGAGAGGCUGACCAGCCACACUGGGACUGUGACACGGACCAGACUCCUACGUGAGGCAGCAGUGGGGAAUAUUGCGCAAGGGGGGCAACCCUGAUCCAGCCAACCCGCGUGUGCGAUGAAGGCCUUCGGGUUGUAAAGCACUAUUGGCAGGAAAGCGGUACCUGCAGAAUAAGCACCGGCUAACUACGUGCCAGCAGCCGCGGUAAUAC